RNA transcript from Biomphalaria glabrata, 1842 nucleotides. RefSeq lists it as uncharacterized. The record is from RefSeq and is a predicted model, not a curated record. Lineage: Eukaryota; Metazoa; Mollusca; Gastropoda; Planorbidae. The transcript is spliced from 8 exons.
UCUCCCAUUUGUUUCUAAGCAAACGUCAACUCAUUCUAGAUUUAGAUCUAACACUCAGUUGAUCUUCCUGAUAUUCUAGAAGUUAGACUGUUACACUGUUUGAUUUCAUUUUGAGAAGCGAGACAUUAAUCUAAUGACCUCAGUUGGAAUGUUAUCAGGUUAUUAGAUUAUAUACAAACAGUCCAUGCAUUUCCUUUAAAUGGAUUCAUGAUACAACAAUUAUGGACCCAUUUAAAAGAGCAUUUCUCUCCUGUUGUGGAGACACUGCCUCCAUCAAUUUCAGUCUGCUAACAAUGCCAGAAAAAUUGGAUAUUCAUUUUUCCAGUUUUUGGCUUUGGGAAGCGGCAGUGAUGCUAGUUUUAGAUCCACUUCUCAAGCCAAUGAUUGGUCAGUUUGAAAGAAAGUACAAGUACCUGAGUAAGCAUCUGGGUCAGUACAACUCUUUCAUGCUGUAUUGUUUGACAUCAUACUUGUUCAGUUUUUGGAUGUUUUAUAGUUACCACAGGGCUCUUGCUGAACAGCCUUACAGUCUGAAGCUGACAGAGAACAAAAUCUUGAUCUUGGGCUACAUCUUUCUGCUUGGUGGCUUGGCUGGGAAAAUACACUCCUACAAGAAGUAUGGAGCUUUGGUUAUCAUGGGAGGUCACUACUUUGAUCUUUAUAGCUACCCUUCCUCAAAAUUAAGAUACGACCCUUAUUACCAUCCUUCUGGCACUGCAACCCUAGCUGCUUUGUUUGGAUUAGCUCUAGUUGUUUAAGCGUCAAUGAGGAACUGUGGCUAAGAACAAAGCAGCAGCCAAUUAAAGAAGAUUUCCUUCUGGCCACACCCUUCACAAUCCUGUUUCCACAAUCCCAUGUCAAGCCCUGACCUCAAUCUCCCAAGAGGAAAAAAUGGCCCAGAAAUACACGGUGCCAAGAUUUGGAGGCUGAUGUCAAGCAGGUGGUCAAGACAUGGGCUAGUUCUAGAGUCUGCCCCAGAAUCAAAACAUCUGGAUUAAGCUGGUUGAUGACUUAAGCCUGCUGGAUAUUUUCCUAAAAAAAAAUACAAUAGGGUUGUUUCCAAAACCUCUGACCUACUUUAAAAUAAGUCAUGUGGUUAUGGUCUUAUACAUGACAAUAAUGGCAAUGUCUUCUUAUGAUUAUGAUAAGAUCUAGAUCUAGUACUAGCCAAGAUCUAGAUCUAGCACUAGCCUAGAUCUAGUAGAUCUACUAAAUAAUCAUAUCAAUUUGGGAAUUAUUGCAACUUAUCUUUUUAUUUCUUAAAGAUGUCUAGAGCAACAUAAUUUUCAUAUUCCAAUUACAAUGAAAUCAAUGAGGCCAUUAAUGUAAACCAUGUGACAAGCAAGAAAUACAGAGCAACACCAUAAACCAAAUUUUUCUGAAUUAUAUAAUUUUGAUUUAAAAAAACAAACUUCAAUUUCGAACCAAAAACUUAUGGAUAUAACAUAUUAUAAAUUAUGAUAUGCACUGCAUCUACUACCAAAGGAAUAGUUGCAUUAUGAAACCAAAAUUGUUACUUUUUAAUAGAUAUUUGUGCCUCUAAAUGUUUUGUAUUUCUGUAAGCAGUCGAGCCAGCCUGGCAGGCCUCCUGUUGCAUCCACUUUGUAUUGUGUCUUACAUGCUGUCAUUUUCCUUUGAGAACAAGCGGCAGAAGAAAUCCCUUUGAAACUUUGACUGCUGAGUUGAGUUCAAAUCUUUGAUCUGAAUUUUAUAAUGUUGACCUCCUGUUAUGAAAUAAUUUGAUAUUGUUUGAUUUGUUGCUGUUGAAUCUACGGGUGAACAUUUUGUUGUUAUUUUUAAAUUGAACUCGCUUUUUGUUCAAUUAAAAAAAAAAUUCAUGUU